UACGGAGGAUGCAAGCGUUAUCCGGAAUGGUUGGGCGUAAAGCGUCCGCAGGUGGCUAUGUAAGUCUGCUGUUAAAGAGUGAGGCUCAACCUCAUAAGAGCAGUGGAAACUACAUGGCUAGAGUGCGUUCGGGGCAGAGGGAAUUCCUGGUGUAGCGGUGAAAUGCGUAGAGAUCAGGAAGAACAUCGGUGGCGAAAGCGCUCUGCUAGGCCGCAACUGACACUCAUGGACGAAAGCUAGGGGAGCGAAUGGG
This 253-nucleotide ribosomal RNA is filed under the name uncultured bacterium. RNAcentral's name for it is "partial 16S ribosomal RNA". It matches the Rfam family "Bacterial small subunit ribosomal RNA", at positions 524 to 776 of the family's 1533-position model. The record is from RNAcentral.